Molecule: ribosomal RNA, 450 nt
Filed under: uncultured bacterium
Lineage: Bacteria
Description: partial 16S ribosomal RNA
Rfam family: Bacterial small subunit ribosomal RNA
Source: RNAcentral
GUCGAGAAUAAUUCACAAUGGACGAAAGUCUGAUGGUGCAACGCCGCGUGGAGGAUGAAGGUCUUCGGAUUGUAAACUCCUGUCAUCGGGGAGUAAGACCUGGCGGUAAAUAGCCGACAGGGUUGAUAGUACCCGAAGAGGAAGGGACGGCUAACUUCGUGCCAGCAGCCGCGGUAAUACGAAGGUCCCAAGCGUUGUUCGGAAUCACUGGGCGUAAAGGGAGCGUAGGCGGCGUGGUAAGUCAGAUGUGAAAUCCCGGGGCUCAACCCCGGAACUGCAUCCGAUACUGCCAUGCUUGAGGGUUGGAGAGGUAGCUGGAAUUCUCGGUGGAGCAGUGAAAUGCGUGGAUAUCGAGAGGAACACUCGUGGCGAAGGCGAGCUACUGGACAACAUCUGACGCUGAGGCUCGAAGGCUAGGGGAGCAAAAGGGAUUAGAAACCCCUGUAGUCC